RNAcentral lists this ribosomal RNA (253 nucleotides) under uncultured bacterium. RNAcentral's name for it is "partial 16S ribosomal RNA". It matches the Rfam family "Bacterial small subunit ribosomal RNA", at positions 524 to 776 of the family's 1533-position model. The record is from RNAcentral.
CACGUAGGAGGCGAGCGUUGUCCGGAAUCAUUGGGCGUAAAGAGCGCGCAGGCGGCUUGGCAAGUCGGGUGUGAAAUCCCGGGGCUCAACCCCGUGACUGCAUCCGAUACUGUCAGGCUAGAGGUAGGUAGGGGAGAUCGGAAUUCCCAGUGUAGCGGUGAAAUGCGUAGAUACUGGGAGGAACACCAGUGGCGAAGGCGGCUACCUGGACCGGUUCUGACGCUGAUGCGCGAAAGCGUGGGGAGCAAACAGG